Molecule: ribosomal RNA, 447 nt
Filed under: Boophis quasiboehmei
Lineage: Eukaryota; Metazoa; Chordata; Amphibia; Anura; Mantellidae
Description: partial 16S ribosomal RNA
Rfam family: Bacterial large subunit ribosomal RNA
Source: RNAcentral
UAUCAACGGCAUCACGAGGAUCCUACUGUCUCCCCCCUCUAAUCAGUGAAACUGAUCUCCCCGUGAAGAAGCGGGGAUAUACAUAUAAGACGAGAAGACCCCAUGGAGCUUUAAACCUGACAGCACCCGCUCAUUCUAUACCCCAUUAUUUGCCCGACCCCUGUCUGCUCAGUUUUAGGUUGGGGUGACCACGGAGUAUAAAAUAACCUCCAUGAAGAAGGGGAUAUUUCCCUUAUUAGAGAACCACACUUCCAAGAACUAAUAAAUUAAUUUUCAAUGACCCGAUACCUGAUAAUCGAUCAACGAACCAAGUUACCCUGGGGAUAACAGCGCAAUCCACCCUGAAAGCCCUUAUUAACAGGUGGGUUUACGACCUCGAUGUUGGAUCAGGGUAUCCCAGUGGUGCAGCAGCUACUGAGGGUUCGUUUGUUCAACGAUUAAAACCCU